This 253-nucleotide ribosomal RNA is filed under the name uncultured bacterium. RNAcentral's name for it is "partial 16S ribosomal RNA". It matches the Rfam family "Bacterial small subunit ribosomal RNA", at positions 524 to 776 of the family's 1533-position model. The record is from RNAcentral.
UACAGAGGUCCCAAGCGUUGUUCGGAUUCACUGGGCGUAAAGGGUGCGUAGGCGGUAGGGUAAGUCUGUUGUGAAAUCUCCGAGCUUAACUCGGAAACUGCAAUGGAUACUAUCCGACUAGAGGAAUGGAGGGGAGACUGGAAUACUUGGUGUAGCAGUGAAAUGCGUAGAUAUCAAGUGGAACACCAGUGGCGAAGGCGAGUCUCUGGACAUUUCCUGACGCUGAGGCACGAAAGCCAGGGGAGCAAACGGG